CAGUAGCCGCGGUAAUACGUAGGUGGCAAGCGUUGUCCGGAUUUAUUGGGCGUAAAGCGAGCGCAGGCGGUCAAUUAAGUCUGAUGUGAAAGCCCCCGGCUCAACCGGGGAGGGUCAUUGGAAACUGGGAAACUUGAGUGCAGAAGAGGAGAGUGGAAUUCCACGUGUAACGGUGAAAUGCGUAGAGAUGUGGAGGAACACCAGUGGCGAAGGCGACUCUCUGGUCUGUAACUGACGCUGAGGAGCGAAAGCGUGGGGAGCGAACAGGAUUAGAUACCCCUGUAGUCCCUGUCUCUUAUAC
RNAcentral lists this ribosomal RNA (301 nucleotides) under uncultured bacterium. Its description in RNAcentral is "partial 16S ribosomal RNA". It matches the Rfam family "Bacterial small subunit ribosomal RNA", at positions 509 to 807 of the family's 1533-position model. The record is from RNAcentral.